Molecule: ribosomal RNA, 440 nt
Filed under: uncultured bacterium
Lineage: Bacteria
Description: partial 16S ribosomal RNA
Rfam family: Bacterial small subunit ribosomal RNA
Source: RNAcentral
CCUACGGGAGGCAGCAGUGGGGAAUAUUGCACAAUGGGGGAAACCCUGAUGCAGCGACGCCGCGUGAGUGAAGAAGUAAUUCGUUAUGUAAAGCUCUAUCAGCAGGGAAGAAAAUGCCGGUACCUGAGUAAGAAGCCCCGGCUAACUACGUGCCAGCAGCCGCGGUAAUACGUAGGGGGCAAGCGUUAUCCGGAUUUACUGGGUGGAAAGGGAGCGUAGACGGCAGUGCAAGUCUGGAGUGAAAGGCGGGGGCUCAACCCCCGGACUGCUCUGGAAACUGUCCGGCUGGAGUGCAGGAGAGGUAAGUGGAAUUCCUAGUGUAGCGGUGAAAUGCGUAGAUAUUAGGAGGAACACCAGUGGCGAAGGCGGCUUACUGGACUGUAACUGACGUUGAGGCUCGAAAGCGUGGGGAGCAAACAGGAUUAGAUACCCGAGUAGUC